Pieris napi is the source of this 934-nucleotide long non-coding RNA. RefSeq lists it as uncharacterized. The record is from RefSeq and is a predicted model, not a curated record. The transcript has 3 exons. Lineage: Eukaryota; Metazoa; Arthropoda; Insecta; Lepidoptera; Pieridae.
AACGCUUAGUGUAUAAUAAUAAUGUUCCAGCAUAAUAUUUUAAGCAUUCUGUGUUACGGCCAAUAUUUUAUAUCAACAAUUCAGUUUUACAUUAAUACGGAAAACGAAACAACACUCGAUGGACAAAGUUUUAUUAAAAAUAUUAUUAAUGGGAAAGAUUCAUAUGCUAUCAGUGAUAUUUAUCUCUGGUACUUUGGCGAAUGUUUCUCUUAGAAGAGGCGUCUCCAUGACCACUGUAGGAGUAACAAGAAGCGGUUUUAUUCGUAGACAUGGAACUAAUAUGGAUUUGGAUCAUGAUCUUCUAGAAUGCAAAUGUCCACCAAAUAAUGAGUGCAAGAUAGAGUAUAAAUUAGACAAAAAUGCCUUACAUCUUCAACAUCUACGUGGUAUAGUAAAGGAUCAUGACCUCCGAAGGUUUUAUAAAGAAAACAACGAGUCAAUCGUUGUAAGACGAAGACGCAAUAGUGGUAAUACGUGUUGCUGUCCAAUAGUAGUAGCAAAAGUACCAGCUUUUAUAACGGAAAAAAGGUUUAAGGAUGUCAUAAAACGUUUUGAAAAUAAUAAAAUCUCAGAGUCUAAAUGAAUAAAUUACUUUAUUAAAUAUGCUGUGUAGACGAAAGGCGAAACCAUGCGUUUGAUUGCAUUUAGACCAACGGACAAAAUAUCACGCGUGUUGUGAACACUGUUGACCUAGUGGCUUCAGCGUACAACUCUCAUCCUUGAGGUCGUAGGUUCGAUCCCCGGCUGUGCACAAAUGGACCUUCUGUCUUUAUGUGCAUUUAACAUUCUCUCGAACGCUGAAGGAAACCGGCUUGCCUUAGACCCAAAAAGUCAACGGCAUGUGUUAAGCACAGAAAGCUGAUCACCUACUUGCCUAUUGGAAUGACAAAUUAUAAUUAAACAGAUACAGGAGACCCAGAUUGUAGCCCCACUA